This 465-nucleotide ribosomal RNA is filed under the name uncultured bacterium. RNAcentral describes it as "bacterial SSU rRNA". It matches the Rfam family "Bacterial small subunit ribosomal RNA", at positions 327 to 804 of the family's 1533-position model. The record is from RNAcentral.
CGCCUUAUACUCCUACGGGAGGCAGCAGUGGGGAAUAUUGCACAAUGGGCGAAAGCCUGAUGCAGCGACGCCGCGUGAGGGAUGAAGGCCUUCGGGUUGUAAACCUCUUUCAGUAGGGAAGAAGCGCAAGUGACGGUACCUACAGAAGAAGCACCGGCUAACUACGUGCCAGCAGCCGCGGUAAUACGUAGGGUGCGAGCGUUGUCCGGAAUUAUUGGGCGUAAAGAGCUUGUAGGCGGUUUGUCGCGUCUGCCGUGAAAAUCCGGGGCUCAACUCCGGACUUGCGGUGGGUACGGGCAGACUAGAGUGUGGUAGGGGAGACUGGAAUUCCUGGUGUAGCGGUGAAAUGCGCAGAUAUCAGGAGGAACACCGAUGGCGAAGGCAGGUCUCUGGGCCACUACUGACGCUGAGAAGCGAAAGCGUGGGGAGCGAACAGGAUUAGAAACCCCGGUAGUCCACGUACCA